GCUUUUAGCAGACUUCUCGAAAGCAUUCGAUACCAUAAACUUUAAGACCGUUCUAAAAAAAUUACACCGACUAAAUUUCUCCCAUGGCUUUUUAUACUGGAUAACGAGUUAUCUAACAAAUCGCUUCCAAUAUGUUCAAAUUGAUGACAAGAAAUCUAACCUAACCCCUGUAUGCUUUGGAGUACCACAAGGAUCCAUACUUGGUCCUUUUAUUUUUAACCUAUAUGUAUCUGAUGUCGAUGUCCCUCAAACCUGUUAUCAAUAUGCGGAUGAC
Paramuricea clavata is the source of this 274-nucleotide non-coding RNA. NCBI's taxonomy places the organism in Eukaryota, Metazoa, Cnidaria, Anthozoa, Malacalcyonacea, Plexauridae. The record is from the annotation of a GenBank genome assembly.